GCCGAAAUAGCUCAGUUGGUAGAGCAACUCAUUCGUAAUGAGUAGGUCGUCAGUUCGAUUCUGAUUUUCGGCUCCA
RNAcentral lists this transfer RNA (76 nucleotides) under Opitutaceae bacterium. RNAcentral describes it as "tRNA-Thr". It matches the Rfam family "tRNA". From Rfam's summary of the family: Transfer RNA (tRNA) molecules are approximately 80 nucleotides in length. The record is from RNAcentral. RNAcentral also lists the same sequence under 1 other name. Lineage: Bacteria; Pseudomonadati; Verrucomicrobiota; Opitutia; Opitutales; Opitutaceae.